AGCAGCCGCGGUAAUUCCAGCUCCAAUAGCGUAUAUUAAAGUUGUUGCAGUUAAAAAGCUCGUAGUUGAAUUUCGGGAUCAAUUAAUUGGUCGUGCCUCUGGUACGUACUGAUUUUAUUGGUUCCUCCCUUCUGACGAACCAUGAUGUCAUUAAUUUGGUGUCGUGGAGAAUCAGGACUGUUACUUUGAAAAAAUUGAGUGUUUAAAGCAAGCUAACGCUCGAAUACAUUAGCAUGGAAUAAUGAAAUAGGACGUUUGAUCCUAUUUUGUUGGUUUCUAGGAUCGACGUAAUGAUUAAUAGGGAUAGUUGGGGGCAUUAGUAUUCAAUUGUCAGAGGUGAAAUUCUUGGAUUUAUUGAAGACUAACUACUGCGAAAGCAUUUGCCAAGGAUGUUUUCAUUAAUCAGUGAACGAAAGUUAGGGAUCGAAGACGAUCAGAUACCGUCGUAGUCUUAACAUAAACUAUAGCCGACUAGGGAUCGGGCGAUGUUAUCUUUUUGACUCGCUCGGCUAACCG
RNAcentral lists this ribosomal RNA (516 nucleotides) under uncultured Glomus. RNAcentral describes it as "SSU rRNA". It matches the Rfam family "Eukaryotic small subunit ribosomal RNA", at positions 569 to 1088 of the family's 1831-position model. The record is from RNAcentral. Lineage: Eukaryota; Fungi; Glomeromycota; Glomeromycetes; Glomerales; Glomeraceae.